Molecule: ribosomal RNA, 504 nt
Filed under: uncultured bacterium
Lineage: Bacteria
Description: partial 16S ribosomal RNA
Rfam family: Bacterial small subunit ribosomal RNA
Source: RNAcentral
AUUGAACGCUGGCGGCAGGCCUAACACAUGCAAGUCGGACGGUAGCACAGAGAGCUUGCUCUCGGGUGACGAGUGGCGGACGGGUGAGUAAUGUCUGAGGAUCUGCCCGAUAGAGGGGGAUAACCACUGGAAACGGUGGCUAAUACCGCAUAACGUCGCAAGACCAAAGAGGGGGACCUUCGGGCCUCUCACUAUCGGAUGAACCCAGAUGGGAUUAGCUAGUAGGCGGGGUAAUGGCCCACCUAGGCGACGAUCCCUAGCUGGUCUGAGAGGAUGACCAGCCACACUGGAACUGAGACACGGUCCAGACUCCUACGGGAGGCAGCAGUGGGGAAUAUUGCACAAUGGGCGCAAGCCUGAUGCAGCCAUGCCGCGUGUAUGAAGAAGGCCUUCGGGUUAUAAAGUACUUUCAGCGGGGAGGAAGGCGGUGCGGUUAAUAACCGCGCCGAUUGACGUUACCCGCAGAAGAAGCACCGGCUAACUCCGUGCCAGCCGCCGCAGUAA